This 72-nucleotide transfer RNA is filed under the name Poecilia formosa (Amazon molly). It matches the Rfam family "tRNA". Rfam says of the family: Transfer RNA (tRNA) molecules are approximately 80 nucleotides in length. Their secondary structure includes four short double-helical elements and three loops (D, anti-codon, and T loops). The record is from Rfam by way of RNAcentral. Lineage: Eukaryota; Metazoa; Chordata; Actinopteri; Cyprinodontiformes; Poeciliidae.
GUCAGAGUGGUGCAGUGGAAGCAUGCUGGGCCCAUAACCCACAGGCUGAUGGAUCGAAACCAUCCUCUGCUA